CCAAGGCGGCCUGCAAGAGUGGGGUCCCGAAGCUGAAGCGGGUCCCUAGCUAGCUAGCCCUUCCCGGAGCUAGCGCGAGCCGAGGCAGCCGCUGAGCGCAAACCUAGCACAGGGCUAGCGCUGAGCCCCGACGUCCGACACUAUCUACACCUGCCUCAGCCGGCCAUUUGAUAUAGCUGUGUGUGCCUCAAGGCUGUGGCCCAGGAGAAAGGAACCUGGGACAGAAGAAAUGGAGGAAGGAUACUGGAGGAGGACCUGAAGGCGAGAUCUGAGGAUUUGCGGGACUAUGCUUGACUCCGCCCUCGCCGGGUUCCGCCCGUUGCUGGUGCUUUCCCACUCCAAGCCCGCAGCUCCUAUCUGGGCCCCUCCGAGGAUAACCAAAGUCUGUGUGUGGCUAUGGUGGGCGGAGGACUGGAACAAGUGACCACCUUUGAGUGCCACCAACGAUAAUCACCUUGGUUCUGUGACUCACCAACAGCCUUUUGACCCGCCUCCUCCCCUUCCACUCUGCCAACGCUCCACGUGCCCGGCACUUUGCUAAAAGCUACUCCCCAUAUUUUAAAGAUAGAUAAAGCGAUUGGACUUAA
Long non-coding RNA from Peromyscus leucopus (white-footed mouse), 587 nucleotides. RefSeq lists it as uncharacterized. Lineage: Eukaryota; Metazoa; Chordata; Mammalia; Rodentia; Cricetidae. The record is from RefSeq and is a predicted model, not a curated record. The transcript is spliced from 2 exons.